UACGUAGGGUGCGAGCGUUGUCCGGAAUUAUUGGGCGUAAAGAGCUUGUAGGCGGUCUGUCGCGUCUGCUGUGAAAAUCCGGGGCUCAACCCCGGACUUGCAGUGGGUACGGGCAGACUAGAGUGUGGUAGGGGAGACUGGAAUUCCUGGUGUAGCGGUGAAAUGCGCAGAUAUCAGGAGGAACACCGAUGGCGAAGGCAGGUCUCUGGGCCACUACUGACGCUGAGGCGCGAAAGCCAGGGGAGCGAACGGG
This 253-nucleotide ribosomal RNA is filed under the name uncultured bacterium. RNAcentral describes it as "partial 16S ribosomal RNA". It matches the Rfam family "Bacterial small subunit ribosomal RNA", at positions 524 to 776 of the family's 1533-position model. The record is from RNAcentral.